GUGGGGAAUAUUGGACAAUGGGCGCAAGCCUGAUCCAGCCAUGCCGCGUGUGUGAAGAAGGCCUUCGGGUUGUAAAGCACUUUUGUUGGGAAAGAAAUCCUGUCGGCUAAUACCCGGCGGGGAUGACGGUACCCAAAGAAUAAGCACCGGCUAACUUCGUGCCAGCAGCCGCGGUAAUACGAAGGGUGCAAGCGUUACUCGGAAUUACUGGGCGUAAAGCGUGCGUAGGUGGUUCGUUAAGUCAGAUGUGAAAGCCCCGGGCUCAACCUGGGAAUUGCAUUUGCUACUGGCGGACUAGAGUGCGGUAGAGGAGAGUGGAAUUCCCGGUGUAGCAGUGAAAUGCGUAGAGAUCGGGAGGAACAUCAGUUGCGAAGGCGGCUCUCUGGACCAGCACUGACACUGAGGCACGAAAGCGUGGGGAGCAAACAGGAUUAGAAACCCCUGUAGUCC
RNAcentral lists this ribosomal RNA (450 nucleotides) under uncultured bacterium. RNAcentral's name for it is "partial 16S ribosomal RNA". It matches the Rfam family "Bacterial small subunit ribosomal RNA", at positions 354 to 796 of the family's 1533-position model. The record is from RNAcentral.